Molecule: ribosomal RNA, 116 nt
Filed under: Holosporales bacterium
Lineage: Bacteria; Pseudomonadati; Pseudomonadota; Alphaproteobacteria; Holosporales
Source: RNAcentral
CUAGGUAGUUAUGGCGGGUGUGACACACGCGAUACCAUCCCGAACUCGAUAGUGAAACCACCCAGCGCCGAUGAUACUUCUGCUUAAGUACGAGGGAAAGUAGGACGCUGCCUGGC